AACCUGCCUGCGUCUGAUCCAGAAAAAGAGCAGAUUGCAUUCUUACCCAAAUACUCUUCGUGAUUGCCUGCUUUGCGGCUUUGGGAUUCUUCAGGGAGUAGAGAAUAUUCACAGGGUUAACAUCCCAGCCUUCUCAGCAUGUAAGCAUAUUGUAAUCCUAUUUAUUCACUAAAAAUGUAAAUUCCUCUGAUCUACACUUUAUUUUCUUUAAUCUGCAGGUCGAAUACAGCUUCUUAUUCACUGAUGACUAACUCAAAAAUUUAAAACGAUAUUUUUAUGUUUGUAUUUCCGAAUAUUAAAAGUGUCUUCCUUCUCUUAUGGCCCCACCCCAGCAUGUUCUUAAGUGUCUAUUUCAAACAAAAGAAAAUGACAUCCCCCUUUCAACUAGCCAAACAUUAGAUUCUCUCAGAACUGACUGGGGAUUCACUAGAAGUUUCGCAAUUAGGUUCAUUCAAAUUGAAUUAUUUUCUUUUUUUCCAAACAUCGUUCUUAGAACUUUAUAAAUGUAGCAAUACUGGCUUCACAAUUUCAUGUGGCUCGUUUACAAAUAAAGGUAUUUUAAUAAAACCAAGUUCUGUGUACCUUUGAAAAACAAAAAGCUGGAACAAUCUCACAUUAAAACAUUACAAAAGGAUUGUAAAGGGAAAUUUAAAGGGAGAAAACUUGAUUAUAUAAUGCAAUCCAGCAGUAAUCAAUUUUACCUUCAAUAUCUUGCUUUUGUUUUCAAAAUGCUAAAUAAACAAUACAUAAUGCAUCCCUCAUCAGCCAAACCAUGGAGGCUCUGUGCUCAAAUAACAGGAAACAUAUUCAAUUUUCCUAACAGAAGACAGUUCAUUAAGCUGUGCCACAUCAAAUAAAACUUUAAUUUCUCCAGCAUCAGAGUCGCAAUGAAAGCAAUUGAAGAAGAUGAGCCAUAUGGUACUUCUAUCAGCAAACACAUAUUGCUCAUUCCCCCAAAGUUUUCUAAUUCUGCUCCCCAGACCUGUGUAAUAUAGAUAAUGUGCUCCGAGAGCAGCAACCAUGAGCUAUCUAGUGUACACUUCUAAUACUGUAUUUAAUGGGAAAUAAUGAAUCAUAAAAGCCUAGAGAAGACGGCUUUUGCUAACCUAAAUCUCAGCUGUAAUUUCAUUGUUCUGUGCCUAAGAUGCUGUUUGCCCUUUCCAAACAACAGCAGUUGAACAUAAUUAUGCUGCUUCGAACCUGGGCUUGAAAAAGCAUCCCUAAUAUAACCAACUUUCUAUUAACUCCUGAAUUUCUGAAUUUAAUGAUGCACUGAUACAGGCCUUGACAUAAUCAAGCAUGUGUCAUUUAAAAAUCCAAAUAAGCAUUUUUCCCCUUCUUCUCUUUGGUCAGACUGCUCAAUGCUUUUAUGCUUCCUCCUCCGCCCCCUGCUUGCGUCCAUCCCCCACCCCCCACCCCACCCCAUGCAACAGGAGUGGCAUGAUUAAAAAUGAGGAGAUUUUCUUGUUAUUAGCAAAUUUGACAUUUGCCUGAUGAAAUGCACAUAAAAUGUGAAAGCUACACAGUACUCAGAAGAAUGUCUCCACUCCAAUCCUAGCUACCAAGAUGAAAUAAUUUAGGUAAAGGAAAUGUAAAGGUCCUUGUACAUCUCUUGCUGCGGAAUGCUAGGGCUGUGUUAUAAAUGAAAGAACCAAAUAUUGCUGAGCUUUUAGAGUGAUAGUAUUUUGGCACAUGUGAAGCGCAUAGUGUUCCUUCUCUCACCUUAGCUGCUUUGACAAUUCACUUAAACACAAUACAUAUGCCCAAACACAGCAAUGUGUGUGUCGUGAGCCCAGCCUUUCUCUGGUUUAAGAUCUUGGGGCUGGGGCUUUGUUCAUUUUUAGGAAAAAAUGUUGCUUUUUCCUCUAACUAGGUCAAUAAUUCCAGCUUUUCCAUUUUUAAAGCUUAUCAAAUCAAUAUUUUACCAACAUGAUGCUAAUUUAGAACAUCAUCAAAUAACACCGUGGAUACAUAUUGAAAACAUAUUUUAAUGGUUUUGUUUGUUUUGGCAUCAUAUGAACCAAGAACAAUUAAAUUAAAAAGAGACUUUUAAAAGUUAGAGAUUGCCUUUUUAAAGCUUAUUAAAAUCAGCAUGUUAACAUGCCUGUCUCUGAAUUAGCUCUCACACUUGAUUGCCAUCAUUAAAACUAGUUGUUUGGGUGCUGCUCAAAGCCGAUUCUUACUAGUUAUUAACUUGAAAUCUCUUUCCAUUGAAAUGUGUAAAAAAAAAAAAAAAAAA
Molecule: long non-coding RNA, 2239 nt
Filed under: Macaca mulatta (Rhesus monkey)
Lineage: Eukaryota; Metazoa; Chordata; Mammalia; Primates; Cercopithecidae
Description: lncRNA (ENSMMUG00000050540.1)
Source: RNAcentral